AAUGAAAUCUGACUGGGAAAGAAAGAAGAUGAGAGUGAGUGAGUAAGAGAGAUCCAUGAGAGUCGGUUUGGAGCGAGAAUAUGGGCAAAAAUGCGUCAUAUCAUAUCAUGUAUAUAUGUAUGUUGUUAGUGCUUUAGAUUUCGGAUGGUUUGGAUUUAAUGUACUUGUAUUUUUCAAGUAAUCAGUCUCUCCGACAAUAAAACUUCAACUGGUCUCGGAAAAAUCAGAAACCCCCUCAGAUUCUCUUCUUCUUCUCUCUCUACACUUCCCAUACCGAUAUCGGCACCAUACCUUGGGAGAUUUUUCGUAAUCUUUUUCUGUUUGUUUCAUUUCCUUUUUGAAACUACAUGGGUCGACCUUGAAGUUGCUCUAGAUUUUGCUGUUGUACCUUGUAAUCGUCAGAUUGUGGUUUCUUCAAACUCAAGAGUUGGGUAUGUUGUCUCUCUCUCCCUCUCUCGUUCUUUGUAUCUGCCUUCUUUUAACUUCUUUCCAAGCUCUGUCCUUUAUAACAAGAAUAGUCGAGAAAGAACAAAACGUACAGUGGUGCAGUGAUAUACACCAGUACUAGCAGCAGCAGGAAAAUCAAGAUUUAUUUAUUGUGUAUGUGGAUUAGUGUGGCUGUCUAGAUCCUUGCAUGUGAAACUUCUUCAAAACUUGAUGUUGAUGACAAGAAGUUCCAAGAAGAGCAGAAACAUGGUAUUUAUAUAUAUGCUAAUACUAGCUUGAAAAAUAAGGGUUAUAUGUUCCUGUCACUUUUUGGCAUUUGGGUUUCUUUCGAGUUCUUGAAAACGUUUUGUCAUGGAAGAUAAUUAUAAUAACGGCUCAUGAAGAGCAAAUCAAGAAACGUAGCACUAGCAAUGGUAGUGUGUGGUGGUGGUAUUCGUAUGGGCAACAUUAGUAGAUCGUCUAGGAAAAAAAAAACAAAAGAAGGUGCCACAGAGAGGGCUUGGUGCUGCACAAGUAGAGAAAAUAAGACUAGAAGAGCAACAAAAGAAGGUAAAUGCCUCAUCAGGAAGUUCAUCAUCAUCUUUGCUAGAUUUUCAGAUGGAGCCCCCUUCAAACCAAACUUAUUACGUACGACAACUAUAUAUACGUAUGAUUCACCUGUUUGGAUACGGGAAGAGAAGGUGAUUUAUUUUUUUCUCGUAAUCAAGGAGAUGCAUGGUGAAUUCAGAAAUGCAUUUUCAGAGAAGGCUUCUCGUGUUCUCCUUCCAUCUUGGAGCCUACUUCAAAGAAGAGGGGGCUUGCAAUGGAGGUUUUCUCAGUACUCUAGCCCCUCAUGCUACUACUUUGACGUCUACAAAUUUCAUGCCCUAGCCUUCAACUUAUCUAGCCUUCCAUAAGCCUUUGAUUUUGAGUCACUGCCUCAUCAAGUGAGAUUAAUUAAUUAAACUGCAAAUGUUUAUUUCCGUUUCACUUUUUCUAUAUAUCCAGCUAUUUUAUCUCAUGGAUUUUGCUAAAGGGUAACGUGGAAGAUCAAAUUCUCCAGCAACUAGCUAUUGCUUCGUUCCCCCAGCACCAAUGCAGAUUGGCCAACCACCAAAAGCUAUUAAUUAUUGCCCUGGUCUGGUGGUGAAGUAGGAGAAACUAUUGAUUUGAAUUUGAAGCUAUGAACAACUACAGAAGCACAAUCUUAUUU
This is a long non-coding RNA of Populus trichocarpa (black cottonwood), 1639 nucleotides long. RefSeq lists it as uncharacterized. NCBI's taxonomy places the organism in Eukaryota, Viridiplantae, Streptophyta, Magnoliopsida, Malpighiales, Salicaceae. The transcript has 2 exons. The record is from RefSeq and is a predicted model, not a curated record.